This 467-nucleotide ribosomal RNA is filed under the name uncultured bacterium. Its description in RNAcentral is "bacterial SSU rRNA". It matches the Rfam family "Bacterial small subunit ribosomal RNA", at positions 339 to 797 of the family's 1533-position model. The record is from RNAcentral.
GUACGGGAGGCAGCAGUGGGGAAUCUUGCGCAAUGGACGAAAGUCUGACGCAGCCACGCCGCGUGAGUGAAGAAGGCCUUCGGGUUGUAAAGCUCUGUCGGGAGGGACGAAAAUACUUGGGGUUAACAGCCCCAGGGACUGACGGUACCUCCAAAGGAAGCACCGGCUAACUUCGUGCCAGCAGCCGCGGUAAUACGAGGGGUGCAAGCGUUGCUCGGAAUUAUUGGGCGUAAAGGGUAGGUAGGUGGUCUUAUUUGUCUGGGGUGAAAUCCUUGAGCUUAACUCAAGAAGCGCCCCAGAAACGGUAAGACUAGAGUCUUGGAGAGGGUCGUGGAAUUCCCGGUGUAGCGGUGAAAUGCGUAGAGAUCGGGAGGAACACCAGAGGCGAAGGCGGCGACCUGGACAAGUACUGACACUCAACUACGAAAGCGUGGGGAGCAAACAGGAUUAGAUACCCCUGUAGUCCG